ACUCCUACGGGAGGCAGCAGUGAGGAAUAUUGGACAAUGGGCGGAAGCCUGAUCCAGCCAUGCCGCGUGCAGGAAGACUGCCCUAUGGGUUGUAAACUGCUUUUAUACGGGAAGAAACCGCCUUACGUGUAGGGCUCUGACGGUACCGUAAGAAUAAGGAUCGGCUAACUCCGUGCCAGCAGCCGCGGUAAUACGGAGGAUCCAAGCGUUAUCCGGAAUCAUUGGGUUUAAAGGGUCCGUAGGUGGACGAUUAAGUCAGAGGUGAAAGUCUGCGGGCUCAACCGUAGAAUUGCCUUUGAUACUGGUUGUCUUGAAUCAUUGUGAAGUGGUUAGAAUAUGUAGUGUAGCGGUGAAAUGCAUAGAUAUUACAUAGAAUACCGAUUGCGAAGGCAGAUCACUAACAAUGUAUUGACACUGAUGGACGAAAGCGUGGGUAGCGAACGGGAUUAGAUACCCUGGUAGGCUCUG
Molecule: ribosomal RNA, 468 nt
Filed under: uncultured bacterium
Lineage: Bacteria
Description: bacterial SSU rRNA
Rfam family: Bacterial small subunit ribosomal RNA
Source: RNAcentral